GUGAAUCAUCGAAUCUUUGAACGCAAAUUGCACUCUCUGGUAUUCCGGAGAGUAUGCCUUUUUGAGGGUCAGGUUUAAUAAAAAUCGGUGUGGUUGCUGCCUUUUGUGGUGAUGCACCGGAUUUGGGUCGUCUUGCCUUCGGUUAUGAGACCUUUAAUUUUGUAUGUUUUUUUUCUAACGUUGUUACA
RNAcentral lists this unclassified non-coding RNA (188 nucleotides) under Glomeraceae sp. RNAcentral's name for it is "partial contains 5.8S ribosomal RNA and internal transcribed spacer 2". The stretch from base 1 to 71 matches the Rfam family "5.8S ribosomal RNA", at positions 84 to 154 of the family's 154-position model. The record is from RNAcentral. Lineage: Eukaryota; Fungi; Glomeromycota; Glomeromycetes; Glomerales; Glomeraceae.